CCUACGGAGGCAGCAGUGGGGAAUUUUGGACAAUGGGCGCAAGCCUGAUCCAGCAAUGCCGCGUGAGUGAAGAAGGCCUUCGGGUUGUAAAGCUCUUUUGUCAGGGAAGAAACGGUGGGGGCUAAUAUCCCUCGCUAAUGACGGUACCUGAAGAAUAAGCACCGGCUAACUACGUGCCAGCAGCCGCGGUAAUACGUAGGGUGCAAGCGUUAAUCGGAAUUACUGGGCGUAAAGCGUGCGCAGGCGGUUUUGUAAGUCUGUCGUGAAAGCCCCGGGCUCAACCUGGGAAUUGCGAUGGAGACUGCAAGGCUUGAAUCUGGCAGAGGGGGGUAGAAUUCCACGUGUAGCAGUGAAAUGCGUAGAGAUGUGGAGGAACACCGAUGGCGAAGGCAGCCCCCUGGGUCAAGAUUGACGCUCAUGCACGAAAGCGUGGGGAGCAAACAGGAUUAGAUACCCUGGUAGUCCACGCCCUAAACGAUGUCUACUAGUUGUCGGGUUUUAAUUAACUUGGUAACGCAGCUAACGCGUGAAGUAGACCGCCUGGGGAGUACGGUCGCAAGAUUAAAAACUCAAAAGUAGUAGUACGGACCGUGUAGGAACGUAGUCCGAACCGGACGGACCGAACCGAACGGGAAGGGGUUAAGGUUAGGAG
This 652-nucleotide ribosomal RNA is filed under the name uncultured bacterium. RNAcentral's name for it is "bacterial SSU rRNA". It matches the Rfam family "Bacterial small subunit ribosomal RNA", at positions 338 to 1469 of the family's 1533-position model. The record is from RNAcentral.